GGCAAGUAUGGACACAACAUUCAAGCUGGAUACAGCUCUGAAUUUGGAUUGUGAUUAAAUAUUUGACACCGCAUAGGUUUCUGACACAGAAUGAAUGUGGUCUAAUGAACUUAAUUUUUUUUUUUGGCUUUUGAGCAAUUCACUAUGCUGUUGAAUAUUUAUCCUCUCAAAAAAAAUAUAUUUGAAGAAAUUUUCUUUUUAAUUUCUG
RNAcentral lists this long non-coding RNA (208 nucleotides) under Mytilus galloprovincialis (Mediterranean mussel). The record is from RNAcentral. Lineage: Eukaryota; Metazoa; Mollusca; Bivalvia; Mytilida; Mytilidae.